GACGAACGCUGGCGGCGUGCUUAACACAUGCAAGUCGAGCGGUAAGGCCCUUUCGGGGGUACACGAGCGGCGAACGGGUGAGUAACACGUGGGUGACCUGCCCUCAGCUCUGGGAUAAGCCUGGGAAACCGGGUCUAAUACUGGAUAUGACUCCAUGACGCAUGUUGUGGGGUGGAAAGCCUUGUGCGGCUGAGGAUGGGCCCGCGGCCUAUCAGCUUGUUGGUGGGGUGANGGCCUACCAAGGCGACGACGGGUAGCCGGCCUGAGAGGGCGACCGGCCACACUGGAACUGAGACACGGCCCAGACUCCUACGGGAGGCAGCAGUGGGGAAUCUUGCGCAAUGGGCGAAAGCCUGACGCAGCGACGCCGCGUGAGGGAUGACGGCCUCGGUU
This 393-nucleotide ribosomal RNA is filed under the name uncultured bacterium. Its description in RNAcentral is "bacterial SSU rRNA". It matches the Rfam family "Bacterial small subunit ribosomal RNA", at positions 28 to 424 of the family's 1533-position model. The record is from RNAcentral.